Long non-coding RNA from Hibiscus syriacus, 328 nucleotides. RefSeq lists it as uncharacterized. NCBI's taxonomy places the organism in Eukaryota, Viridiplantae, Streptophyta, Magnoliopsida, Malvales, Malvaceae. The record is from RefSeq and is a predicted model, not a curated record. The transcript has 2 exons.
UUAAGUGCCUGACAAGAGCAUGCUCAAAGAGGCCCGUCACCAUCAUUGUAAUGGACAGGAGCCCUCCAGGGCCUGGCGUCAUCGGCCGCACCCACUUCGACUUAAGCGGCGCGGCCUUUGGUCACAUGGCUGUACGAGGUCGGAGUGCACAGCUUAGGAACCGAGGUGAACUCCGAGUCUCGUAUAGAAGGACCCAUGUAAAUAUCCAGGGAAGAGUAUUGCAUUCCAUGUUAAUGCAGGUUCAACGGCGUAUUGGCUAUCUCUUUUGAUUGAAUUUGAGGAUGGAGAUGGAGAUAUUGGGUCGAUGCAUUUAAGAGAAGCAAAUUCU